CCUACGGGCGGCAGCAGUGAGGAAUAUUGGUCAAUGGACGAGAGUCUGAACCAGCCAAGUAGCGUGAAGGAUGACUGCCCUAUGGGUUGUAAACUUCUUUUAUAUGGGAAUAAAAUGUUCCACGUGUGGGAUUUUGUAUGUACCAUAUGAAUAAGGUUCGGCUAACUCCGUGCCAGCAGCCGCGGUAAUACGGAGGAUCCGAGCGUUAUCCGGAUUUAUUGGGUUUAAAGGGAGCGUAGGUGGAUUGUUAAGUCAGUUGUGAAAGUUUGCGGCUCAACCGUAAAAUUGCAGUUGAAACUGGCAGUCUUGAGUACAGUAGAGGUGGGCGGAAUGCGUGGUGUAGCGGUGAAAUGCUUAGAUAUCACGAAGAACUCCGAUUGCGAAGGCAGUUCACUGGACUGCAACUGACACUGAGGCUCGAAAGUGUGGGUAUCAAACAGGAUUAGAUACCCCGGUAGUC
Molecule: ribosomal RNA, 460 nt
Filed under: uncultured bacterium
Lineage: Bacteria
Description: partial 16S ribosomal RNA
Rfam family: Bacterial small subunit ribosomal RNA
Source: RNAcentral